CUGACACCCACAUACACUGAGAAAUACUGACACACACACACAGGCACAUACACUGACACACACACAGACUGAUAUACUGACACACACACACACACACAGACAUACUGGCACACAGACAGAUAUACUGACACAUGCAUACACAUGCACUAACAGACAUACUGACGCACUGACAGACAUACUGACACAUACACAUACUGACACACACAGAUAUACACACACAUAUAU
Pelobates cultripes (western spadefoot toad) is the source of this 225-nucleotide non-coding RNA. Lineage: Eukaryota; Metazoa; Chordata; Amphibia; Anura; Pelobatidae. The record is from the annotation of a GenBank genome assembly.